GUGGGGUUCGUACAGAUACUGGGCGUAGCGCAGACGCUAGGCGGGUUUGUUAAGUCAGAUGUUGAAGCCCCGGGCUCAACCUGGGAAUUGCCUCUUGAUACUGGGAAGCUGGAGUGCGUGAGAGGAGGGUGGAAUUCCCAGUGUAGAGGUGAAAUGCGUAGAUAUUUGGAGGAACACCAGUGGCGAAGGCGGCCCCCUGGCCCAUACUGACGCUGAGUGCGAAAGCGUGGGGAGCAAACAGGAUUAGAUACCCUGGUAGUCCCGCCCUAAACGAUGUCAACUACCUGUUCACGGCCUUGUGUUGUGAGUAACGCAACUAAGGCAUUAAUUUUACCCCCCGGGGGAAACGGUCCCCGGAAUAAAAUCCAAAUGAAUUGACGGGGGCCCCCCAAACGGGGGGAACUGGGGGUUUAUUUUAAAUCACCCCCAAAAACCUUCCCUCCUCUUACAUUCUACGGAACUUGUGAAAAAAUGCUUGCUGCCUUUAGGAACUGUAAAAAGGGGGGUGCCUGGCUUCCGUCCGCUCCGGGUGGGGAAAGGUGGGUUAAAUCCCCCAACGAACCCCACCCUUAUCCUUAUUUGCCCCCAAUUGUGUGGGGAACUCUAAGGAGACUGCCGGUGAUAAACCGGAGAGGGGGGGGGACAACAUCCAUUCUGGCGGCCCUUACGAGGAGGGGUACACACGUGCUACAAUGGUAUGUACAGAGGGAGGCAAGCUGGCGACAGUGAGCCCAUCUCUUAGAGCAUCUCUUAGUCCCGAUUGCAGUCUCCCACUCCCCUCCAUGAGGACUCAAUCGCUAUCACUCGUCAAUCAUGACGCGGCGAAUGAAUACCUUCCCCCGUUCUUGUACACACCCGCUCGUCACACGAUGGGAGUGUGUUGCAGAAGAAGUACGUAGCUCAGCAUUCGGGGAGGGCGCUUACCACUUAGUGAUUCUAGCUCGGGGUAAUCUAUAAAAAGAACAACAAAAA
RNAcentral lists this ribosomal RNA (972 nucleotides) under uncultured Alishewanella sp. Its description in RNAcentral is "partial 16S ribosomal RNA". It matches the Rfam family "Bacterial small subunit ribosomal RNA", at positions 538 to 1506 of the family's 1533-position model. The record is from RNAcentral. Lineage: Bacteria; Pseudomonadati; Pseudomonadota; Gammaproteobacteria; Alteromonadales; Alteromonadaceae.